RNAcentral lists this ribosomal RNA (130 nucleotides) under uncultured bacterium. RNAcentral describes it as "partial 16S ribosomal RNA". The record is from RNAcentral.
AGCCGAUGCUUAUUCUUCAGGUACACGUCAUUUUGUUCCUCCCUGAAAAAAGAGGUUUACAACCCAUAGGCAGUCAUCCCUCACGCGAGAUUGCUCCGUCAGGCUUUCGCCCAUUGCGGAAAAAUUCCCC